RNAcentral lists this long non-coding RNA (316 nucleotides) under Nicotiana benthamiana. RNAcentral describes it as "long non-coding RNA (NBEN_LNC015093)". Lineage: Eukaryota; Viridiplantae; Streptophyta; Magnoliopsida; Solanales; Solanaceae. The record is from RNAcentral.
UAAAAUCAGGAAUAGGUUUUUUGAACGUUGGUCAAACAAUCGAUUGUCUACUCCAAACAAUCGAUUGUCUGAGCAGAGAAUCAGGGAUUUUAUUUAUCAAUUAAGCAACGGUCAGCACCACUUUUUCACCUAUAAAAAGAGGUCUUUUGAGCUGAUUUUAAAAAUACAACUCCUGCAUAUAUUGAUAUACAUAUUGAUCAUUUUCAAGCAUCAUUUUAGAGCUUUUGUUGAGCCAUUAGAUAGACAACUUUGUGUUGUUCAUAGAGCUUAUUGUGUAUCUCUUUAUCCACUCUAUUGAGAGAGUAUUUGUUGUAAA